AGUGAACGCUGGCGGUAGGCCUAACACAUGCAAGUCGAACGGCAGCACAGUAAGAGCUUGCUCUUACGGGUGGCGAGUGGCGGACGGGUGAGGAAUACAUCGGAAUCUACUUUUUCGUGGGGGAUAACGUAGGGAAACUUACGAUAAUACCGCAUACGACCUACGGGUGAAGGCAGGGGAUAGUCGGACCUUGCGCGAUUGAAUGAGCCGAUGUCGGAUUAGCUAGUUGGCGGGGUAAAGGCCCACCAAGGCGACGAUCCGUAGCUGGUCUGAGAGGAUGAUCAGCCACACUGGAACUGAGACACGGUCCAGACUCCUACGGGAGGCAGCAGUGGGGAAUAUUGGACAAUGGGCGCAAGCCUGAUCCAGCCAUACCGCGUGGGUGAAGAAGGCCUUCGGGUUGUAAAGCCCUUUUGUUGGGAAAGAAAAGCAGCAGGUUAAUACCCCGCUGUUCUGACGGUACCCAAAGAAUAAGCACCGGCUAACUUCGUG
This 492-nucleotide ribosomal RNA is filed under the name uncultured bacterium. Its description in RNAcentral is "partial 16S ribosomal RNA". It matches the Rfam family "Bacterial small subunit ribosomal RNA", at positions 29 to 507 of the family's 1533-position model. The record is from RNAcentral.